RNAcentral lists this unclassified non-coding RNA (874 nucleotides) under uncultured Synechococcus sp. RNAcentral's name for it is "partial may contain 16S ribosomal RNA, 16S-23S ribosomal RNA intergenic spacer, and 23S ribosomal RNA". The stretch from base 343 to 415 matches the Rfam family "tRNA". Lineage: Bacteria; Bacillati; Cyanobacteriota; Cyanophyceae; Synechococcales; Synechococcaceae. The record is from RNAcentral.
AAGGUGGGGCUGAUGACUGGGGUGAAGUCGUAACAAGGUAUCCGUACCGGAAGGUGCGGAUGGAUCACCUCCUAACAGGGAGACAACACAAUGAUUUUGAUGCCUGAGUGCUUUUAUUCUUAGGCCGAAAUCCUGUCACCUUAGGUCGAUCGGUACCUCAGCUUUGAAGUUAAGGGUCAGCAGCAAUGUUGAUUGCUUGAUGGAGAUUUUCAGUUCCUAAACUUUGUCUAGGUCACACCCCAAAAGGGAUGAGACUCCUGGGCCAUUAGCUCAGGUGGUUAGAGCGCACCCCUGAUAAGGGUGAGGUCCCUGGUUCAAGUCCAGGAUGGCCCAUUCGGUGUUGGGGGUUUAGCUCAGUUGGUAGAGCGCCUGCUUUGCAAGCAGGAUGUCAGGAGUUCGAGUCUCCUAACCUCCACUGACCGAACUUGAUUCCCAUCUCCAAUUUUUUGGAGUUGAGCUCGAUUGGAGUGUGAUGUAGAUGUGUCCGCUGGAUGACCCCAGCUUCCUGUCAUUCCAAGUUUUAGGUUGAUGCCUUGAAUUUGGUUGAUAAGAUGCUGGGCUCGGAUCAAAUGAUCAAGCAAUUGAUGAUUUGAUUUGAAGUUCUAGCAGAACCUUGACAACUGCAUAGGUGAGUCUGGAAAAAACAAAGCAUCUUACAGAUGCAUUGUUUUGAAUCUAAUCUUCUGAAAGGGAGAUUGGAUCUAGAACAAUGAAAAUUCUUUUGAGCAAGAGCCGAGACUCUUGGGCGUUCUUUGAUUGGUGUCGAGCCAAUCAGAGUUUGAUCUUGUUUUUAGCAAUAAAAACUUGAGAAUCUGCUUUCAACGGCGGUAAGCGUUCAGGAGGUUAAUUGGUCAAGCUACAAAGGGCUCACGGC